Long non-coding RNA from Syngnathoides biaculeatus (alligator pipefish), 1343 nucleotides. RefSeq lists it as uncharacterized. The transcript is spliced from 3 exons. The record is from RefSeq and is a predicted model, not a curated record. Lineage: Eukaryota; Metazoa; Chordata; Actinopteri; Syngnathiformes; Syngnathidae.
GACCAACAUGAACACUUUUCAUUAAUAAUUAAAUUACAAGUUAUUUAGUUUUAUUGAUUCCCAAGGAAUAAUGUUUGUAAGCAAUUGGCGGAUCGCUAGAUACAUUUGAGUGAAAUAAUUUCUGUUCAAAUUAAACUGCAACUGCUCAGCCCCGAAGGUGCGUUUGGGUGCAAAUUGCUUUCCGCAUAUUCCAGUGUUUAGUCAGCUCAGCCCUUUUUUUAUUUAUUGCAUCACACAUGGCUCUUAGAUCUUUGCAAAACAGUUUUUCGGAGAACUGCGAGGAUUCCAGCUGACGGCGACAAUCUUCACCAAGAUCAACAAUGCGGUCACUUCGGGAACUUCCUCAAAACGGUGGUUCAUGCGGCCAUAAAAAUAAUCCUGAAGCAAUUUUAGGCCUCAGUUUCGGACUAUUUUGUGAACCAAUAGGCCGGUAACGGCGUCUCGAUUCAUUUUGGCUGUGAGUUGAUGAAAAUAUCGGUUUGGUUUUGUCAACAACUCCACAGAGACGAAGACGGGAGAAGCCGAAACGAGGCGGGAUCGAGCUGUGCGCGCACGCCUCGCAAAACAGGAAGUGGCAACGGCAGAGAAGAAAAAAAAUAUCGAAUCUCCGAAAUGUCAUGCGUCUGUUUUAGAAAGGCAUCUUGAAAUACACUCAUCUCCCGGCCUCCGUGUUUCGUAAUCAAAGAGCGUUUUGCUCCCAAAGCAGAAUCGGAGCCGCGAGUCGUCUUUGCCAGAAAUGUUUUUUGUUGGGAGUCGCUGCCAACGCUUUUUUUUUUUUUUUUUUUUGACAGCAGAAGACGGCGGUAAGAAGACGGGGAGGCGGCUCGCGCUGCUUGCCUUGCUGGCAGUCCCGUUGAGUCCCGUUGCCUCCAAAUUCAGGCGCAAGGGGGCACUCGAGCGGAAAAGGUAGGAAUGAGACCGGUGGAAUAUAAGUGCCGAGGAAGUGACUUUUACCAGCCCUGUUAGCGCUGUGCUAACGUGUUGCUGCUGUGUUACUGGCGUGUCUCAGUGAUAUUUAUCGUUCAGGGUGUACGCCGACUCCUGCCUGAUGACAUCUGGGAUAAGCUGCAGCACUCCUCGACCCUGGUGCGGAUAAGCAGCUAAGAAAAUGGAUGGACGGAUGUCGUAUUCAUAUAUUUAGGUGCAGUACUUGCGUGUUUUGUUUCAUACUGGCAUCUUUUUCGGGUUGAAUAUUUGUGUGUUUUCAUUGAAUAUUUGAGCAUAUUUCAUCGAAUUAUUUUUCAUCUCGCGUGGAAACGGACAGAAUGUGUAGAAAGCGGGAAAAGGAGCACACGGGUAACCUGGCGAGAGAGCGGCCACACGGACAACACAUGUUCACCUGG